Molecule: transfer RNA, 87 nt
Filed under: Aquifex aeolicus
Lineage: Bacteria; Pseudomonadati; Aquificota; Aquificia; Aquificales; Aquificaceae
Also listed under: 1 other name
Description: tRNA-Leu
Rfam family: tRNA
About the family: Transfer RNA (tRNA) molecules are approximately 80 nucleotides in length.
Source: RNAcentral
GCGGGAGUGGCGGAACUGGCAGACGCGCCGGACUUAGGAUCCGGUGCCCGUAAGGGCGUGCGGGUUCGACUCCCGCCUCCCGCACUA